GGAUUGACAUCCUACGAACUUUCUUGAAAGAGAUUGGUGCCUUCGGGAACGUAGAGACAGGUGGUGCAUGGCUGUCGUCAGCUCGUGUCGUGAGAUGUUGGGUUAAGUCCCGCAACGAGCGCAACCCUCGUCCUUAGUUGCCAUCAUUAAGUUGGGCACUUUAAGGAGACUGCCGGUGACAAACCGGAGGAAGGUGGGGAUGACGUCAAGUCAUCAUGCCCCUUACAUCCUGGGCUACACACGUACUACAAUGCAACGGACAAAGGGCAGCCAACUAGCGAUAGUGCGCUAAUCCCAUAAACCGUUGCUCAGUUCAGAUUGCAGGCUGCAACUCGCCUGCAUGAAGGCGGAAUCGCUAGUAAUCGCAGGUCAGCAUACUGCGGUGAAUACGUUCCCGG
This 398-nucleotide ribosomal RNA is filed under the name uncultured Leptolyngbyaceae cyanobacterium. RNAcentral describes it as "bacterial SSU rRNA". It matches the Rfam family "Bacterial small subunit ribosomal RNA", at positions 978 to 1377 of the family's 1533-position model. Lineage: Bacteria; Bacillati; Cyanobacteriota; Cyanophyceae; Leptolyngbyales; Leptolyngbyaceae. The record is from RNAcentral.